UCAGUGAAGUCUCGCGAGAGCCCCCGCCAUCUUCACGUAAGCUGGUUUGUUUUCGUUUAUUGGGAAAACCGACUACUCUGAAAUCAUGGGAAGAAAGAAGAAGAAGCAAAUGAAGCCUUGGUGUUGGUACUGUAACAGAGAUUUUGAUGAUGAAAAAAUCCUCAUUCAGCAUCAGAAGGCGAAACAUUUUAAAUGUCACAUCUGUCACAAGAAGCUGUACACCGGCCCGGGUCUGGCUAUUCACUGUAUGCAGGUGCAUAAAGAAACAAUCGAUGGAGUUCCCAAUGCAAUACCUGGAAGAACAGAUAUUGAACUGGAAAUUUAUGGGAUGGAAGGUAUUCCGGAGAAAGACAUGGAGGAGAGGCGAAGAGUUUUGGAGCAAAAAAACCAAGAAACCCAGAAAAGAAAGCUGAAUCCGGAUGAUUCAGAUGAAGAUGAUGAUGAUGAUGAGCCGGGGUCCUCUUUCCAGCAGCCCGUUGCUCGUCCGCCUCAGGCUGGCUUUGUCCCUCCUAUGACUCAGCCUGGUUUGCUCCCCGUCCGUGGAGCUCCAGUGAUCCCACCAGCUGGAUACUCAGGAAUUCCCCCAAUGAUCCCGGGUGUUCCCCCAAUGAUGCCGGGGCUGCAUCACGGAGUGCCUGGAAUGCCUCCUGGUAUGAUGCCAGUAGGUGGGAUGAUGCCUCCAAUGAUGCCAGGCAUGCCAGCAGUCAUUCAUCCUCCGGUUAGUCAUCGUCCUGGGAUCACACACAUGCCUCAAGUCCCUGCUGUGAAUGUCCUGUCCAGACCUGCAGUUCCUGCUGUCAUCACUUCAUCGGCUCAGCCGGACAUAGCAAAACCUCUCUUCCCCAGUGCCGGACAGAGUCAACAGACAGUAUCAGGAUCCCCCCACACUCCCCCGUCCACCACAUCGGACCCUCCAAAGCCCACAUUCCCCGCCUACACUAAGUCCUCUGCAGGUGUGGCCAGCCCCAAUGCUGACACCAGCACAGUCUCUAAGCCUCCUUCCACGGUGACCAGUAAGGCCGCCACCCUCACCACAACCAGUGCAACCAGUAAGUUGAUCCACCCAGAUGAGGAUCUGUCACUGGAAGAGUUGCGGGCUCAGCUACCCAGAUAUCAGUGCAACGUUCGCCAGAACACCCCCGCUGCCCCGUCAGUGGCUCCUGUGAACGCUGUCCUGCCUCCUCAGCAACUCUCCCUGGGGAAUCCCAUACCUGGUAUUCCCUCCAUCCUCUGUCAGUUUUCCGGCCCACCCCGGGGACUGCCGGGUUACUUGCCAGGUCAGAUGCUUCCAUUCGUGCAGGCCCAUGCUGUGAUUCCUGGGUUCCAGGGAGCACCGUCUCGGCCACCCAUGGGCGUGAGACCCCCCGUGAUGUCCCCUGGUGGUCGCUACUGAAGUCUGCCUUCCUCUCUUCUUCCAAUAGGUGUAUUGAAGUGUUGUAGAUAUGGUUCGUAGUGUUGUGAAGGCGCUGGAGUAACACGGGCAGUACCCCCCUCUCUCCCCCCAAUAUAUCAAGCAAUGCCAUGGGAGACUGGCUGAUUCCCUUCUCUCAGUGUAGUCCUGUUUCAGCCUGAGGCAAGUCUCACUGUUUUCUGUCUUCUUAUUUAUUAGCAGGGGCCCUCACAGCAUACCUGCUGUUGGAUGUAUCGUCCCCAAACUUGCAGCAAGUUUGGUGAAGGCCCUUGUUUGUUACCUUCCAUUUAGGCAUCCUGUCAUUCUGAUACAGUGGGGGCAAAAAAAGUGCUAAAAUCUGAAAAAUUAUAUAGUCUGAUCUUUAAAGAAUUUAUUUGUAAAUUAUGGUGGAAAACGAGUAUUUAGUCAAUAACAAAACGUUCCUCUCAAUACUUUCUUUUUUAACCUUUAUUUGGCAAUUACAGCAGUCAAAUGUCUUCACAAGGAAACUGUUGCUGGUAUUUUGGUCCAUUCCUCCAUGCAGAUCUCCUCUAGAGCAGUGAUGGUUUGGGCAACAUGGACUUUCAACUCCCUCCAAAGAUUUUCUAGGUGGUUGAGAUCUGGAGAUUGGCUAGGAAAUUCCAGGACCUUGAAAUGCUUCUUACGAAGCCACUCCUUCGUUACCUGGGCAGUGUAUUUAGGAGGAUUGUCAUGCUGAAAGACCCAGCCAUGUUUCAUCUUCAGUGCCCUAACCUCAAGGAGGUUUUCACUUAAAAUGUAACCAUACAUGGCCCCAGUCAUUGUUACCUUUACACGCUCAGACGUCCUGGUCUCUUUGCUGAAAAACAUCCCCGAAGCAUGAUGUUUCCACCACCAUGCUUUACAGUACGUAUCGAGUUAUUUAGAAGCAACUCAACAUUCUUUCUCCUCCAAACAGUAAAGUUCUUAGCAAAAACUUCUAUUUUGGUUUUAUCUGACCAUAGGACAUUCUCCAAAUCCUCUUUUGGAUCAUCCAAAUGCUCUCUAGCAAAUGCUCUCAUGUACUGACCUUAGCAGGAGGACACGUCCGGCUCUGCAGGGUUUGAGUCCCUGCAUAGCGGUGUAGUGCAUUACUGAUGGUAGCCUUUGUUACUUUGGUAUCAACUCUCUGCAGGUCAUUCACUAUUUCUCCCCGUGUGGUUCUGGGAUUUUUAUGAUCAUUUUGGGGUGAGAUUUUGAGGGGAGCCCCAGAUUAAGUGGUCUUGUGUGUCUUCCAUUUUCUAAUAAUUGCUCCCACAAUUGAUUUCUUCACAUGAAGCUUCUUACCUAUUGCAGAUCCAGUCUUCCCAGCCUAGUGCUGGUCAACAAUUUUGUUUUUUGGUGUCCUUAGACAGCUCUUUGGUCUUAACCAUAGUGGAGUUUGGAGUGUGAGUGUUUGAGUUUGUGGACAGGUGUCUUUGAUAUAGAUAACAAGUUCAAAUAGGUGUCAAUAAAACAGGUAAUGAGUGGAGGACAGAGGAUCCUCUUACAGAAGAAGUUACAGGUCUGUGAGAUACUUUUUUGUACGUGACAAAUAACGUUUUCCACCAUAAUUUGCAAAUAGUCUUUAAAAAAGAGACAAUGUAAUUUUCUGUAUUUCUUUCCUCAUUUUGUCUAUCGUUGAGGUUUUAUAAUGAAAAUUAUAGGCCUCUUUCAUCAUUCACAGUGGGAGAACUUACCCAAUUGGUGGCUGACUAAAUACUUUUUUUGCACCACUGUAUGUUGGCCUGUGACAUUUUGAAUACAAGCAUUUUUUUUCACUAUUCUUUUUUAAUGUUUUACUUCAAUUAAAAUGACCUUUUAAAAGCCUUAAAAUAUCAGUUAAAGAACUUUGUGGAGUGAAGGAUUCUCACACCUCAACAUUUGGUUAUCAAAUCAGCCGCAUUUUCCUGAUUUGCUUAUCGUUGAACACAGUGGUGGGGUAAAGCAUCUCUACUGUCAAGCCUGAGAUUUGAUCACCUAAAACGGCUGCUCAACCUCACAUUAAAGCAUUCUGAGUUCAAUAGUGUGAUGGAAUGAUCAAAUGAAUUUACAUUGAUUGGAAAAAGACCAUACUGUUUUUGUCAUCAGCUGCUCUAACUGUUAAUUAUUGCCACCUUUCAUGAAGGAGAUUCUCUGCCGGUUGAAGCUGUAAGUACCGCCUUGCUGUCAAUUGUUGGGUUUUUUUGGGGUUAUGAGAUCCAAAAAUCUAUGACUUGGUAAUGUUUACAUGUUUCAAUAAUAAUAAUGUUAACCUUUUAUGUAAUAUUACCAUAUAGUCUCAUUUUGUAAGUAUUGAUUCAUAUUCUUUAAUGGUUUGUUUACUUGCUAAGGAAUAAUUUCACUCAUGUUUUGAUUUAACUAAAAAAAGAUACGGCUUUACUGGAUUGACAUAAUUUCUAAUAUAGAGAGUAGGGUCUUAUAUGUUUUUUGUCUAUUAAAAAUUAUAUUUUUUUGUUAGACAAAUGUAGUUUUAGUCUUUUAUUUACCUAUAUUUUGACAGCAACUUUCAGUCUUCCUUAGGGAGUUUUGCAAAGUUUGUCAAGACAAACAACCUCUUCAACCUACAUCUGUCUGUUAAAAGAAAAAUCAAUUUAUUUAUUUAAUUCAUGAAAGUCAGAGAUGAAUGGAUGUAGUAAAAUAUGUUGAAUUCUUUUAGGAUGGAAUCUUUCUUGUAUGUGCUGAAAUCUGAUUUUUUUUUAAUAAAUCAAUCCAACAAACUUA
Oryzias melastigma (Indian medaka) is the source of this 4111-nucleotide RNA transcript. It is a transcript of the gene named BUB3-interacting and GLEBS motif-containing protein ZNF207, with no coding region annotated. The transcript is spliced from 12 exons. NCBI's taxonomy places the organism in Eukaryota, Metazoa, Chordata, Actinopteri, Beloniformes, Adrianichthyidae. The record is from RefSeq and is a predicted model, not a curated record.